CGAGAUAUGCCGCAUAGGAUAGCGCGCAGCAGCAGUAGCACUCUCUCUAUCUCAUUCUCUCUGUCAUCAUCCCCAGGCAGGCUCCAAUGGAAGUCACGGCAACGUGAAGAGUGGAGUUGUACCUCUGCCCAUUUCCCAUCUCCCCACGCCCCAAGAAACCAGGGCCACGCCAAGAACAACCCACGGCGCCGACCCAGCCCGGUGCCCAAUUCCCCGAUCCCGCCGCCGCCGCCCGCCGUUCUGCUCUCCCCCGCGCGUGUUGGGUCCUUUCGUUCUUGGCCUGGGGCGGAACUCGGAAGGCAGGCAGGCAUCCGAGGAGGAGGAGAGAGGAGGGAGGGGCAGCGGACCACGGGCGGCACGUGACGAGCAGUUGGCGAAUGGCGAUGGCGAGAAAGAGCAGCGGCGAGGGGCGGGCGCGCGCAUAAAGAGCAGGCGCCUGCGGCCGGGGGUCCCUCGCUGGGGAGGGGAUCUGAAUUCUUGGGCUUUUGGGUGGAGCACCGCGCGCAGAGAGAGAGAGAGAGAGAGAGAGAGAGGCCGAGAGGAAUGGAGGCGGCGGCGGCGUUCGGCACGUUGGAGGGGGUGGUGGGGGAGAUCACGCGGCUGCACCGCUCGCUGCCGGCGCGGCCGACGCUGGACGACGUGGAGGCGGCGGAGGCGCUCGCGCGCGCCGCCGACCGGGAGGAGCGGGCGCGCCUCGACGGCGUCGAGGCGCUGCGGAGGUCGCCGCUCGUGCCCGAGGAGCUCUUCUACGUUGCCCAGGAGAUGCACCGAGCGCUCGCCGGCUUCCAGUGCCGGGAGCAGAAGCGCGACGCCACGCGGAUCCUCGAGCUUGACGCGCUGCACACCCUCUUCGACGACCUCAUCCAGCGAGCGUCCCAGUGCGUGCCGUCCACCUCCACCGGCGCCGUGCCGCGCAUCACCUCCACCGCCGCCGCCGGUGCUGCCUCCUCCUCGUCGGCCUCAUCAUCGGGGGCGUUGCCAGCUGGGGGCCGCUCCUCUUUGGUCACCAACGGCUUCAGUGCGGAGAGGACUGUGGGCAGGAGCAUGGGUCGUGUCUCCAUGGACGACAGCUACGUCACCAAGGCCAAGGCGCCAAUGUGGGACGGCGGAGUCGUGGCACCAACUCCACGUAAGCCGGGAGGAACUGCGGCCGCAAACUCCGCCGCCGUUCGACUGGAUGGCAGUUAUGGAGAUGAUAAGGAGAAAAUGAGCCUCAUUAAGCUAGCUAGCAUGAUUGAAGUGGCUGCGAAGAAAGGCGCUCGGGAACUCAACUUCAAUGGAAAACUCAUGGCCCAGAUUGAGUGGAUACCUGAUUCAAUUGGAAAGCUCACUGGGCUUGUUACCCUUGAUAUUUCGGAGAAUCGGCUUGUGGCUUUGCCACCAACAAUCGGGAAGCUUUCUUCUUUGACCAAGCUGGAUCUUCAUGCUAAUCGAAUAGCUCAACUCCCCGACUCCGUUGGGGAUCUUCGCAGCUUGAUUUGCCUCGAUCUGAGGGGCAAUCAGCUUACAUCACUGCCCUCUAGUAUUGGGAGGUUAGCAAAUCUUGAGGAGCUUGACGUGGGUGCAAACCAUAUCGUCGCGCUACCUGAUUCAGUAGGAAGCCUCACACGAUUGAAGAAGUUACUGGUUGAGACAAAUGAUCUUGAUGAGUUGCCUUACACAAUAGGUCAUUGUGUUUCACUGGUGGAAUUGCAGGCAGGCUAUAAUCACCUGAAGGCUCUUCCAGAGGCUGUUGGGAAGCUAGAAUCUCUAGAGAUCCUCUCUGUGAGGUACAACAAUAUCAGGAGCCUUCCAACUACAAUGGCAUCUCUCACUAAGCUGAAGGAGGUUGAUGCCAGCUUCAAUGAGCUUGAGUCGAUUCCGGAGAACUUUUGCUUUGUCACUUCUCUUAUUAAACUGAAUGUCGGGAACAACUUUGCUGACAUGAAAUCCCUGCCUCGCUCUAUUGGUAACCUUGAGAUGCUGGAGGAGUUGGAUAUAAGCAAUAACCAGAUUAGGGUGCUUCCAGAUUCUUUUGGAAUGCUGCAGCAUCUCCGUGUGCUUCGUGCAGAAGAGAAUCCCCUACAGGUGCCACCAAGGGAGAUAGCUUUAAAGGGAGCUCAGGAUGCCGUCCAAUACAUGGCUGAAUAUGCAGCCAAGAAAACUACAAAGCCACAGCCGGUGAAGGCGAAGAAGAAUUGGGCUCAGUUCUGCUUUUUCUCCAGACCCAACAAAAGGAAGCAUGACCGGAUAGACACUGACAUGACUGAUUGAAGGUAGGCGAAGAAUUCGAGAAGUGUUUUCUUUGUUCACUGCAUCAUAAAUGUUUCUAUCGUGAUGGAACCGGUGCUUCCCCUUCGACUAAUGGCCGAUGGUGCAGGAUGCCAGAUGGUGCGUGGCUUAUCCACCUUGUGCCCGUGGCUCAGAGAAUUUUGCGGUGAAAUGAGUAAAGUCGACGAUCAGGACAUGGUGGUUUCUCUUCGUGUCGUUUGUAAUUUAUUUAUUUUUUGGCGGGAACUUGUUUGUAUCUGUCACUAGUUUUCUGCGUUUCUGAAUGAAUGGUCGUUCUUCCGACCAGGGUUGGAUUGUGCUGUUUGCUGGAGGCAAUGAGAAACGAAACUUUUUCUGCA
This is an RNA transcript of Hordeum vulgare subsp. vulgare (domesticated barley), 2609 nucleotides long. It is a transcript of the gene named plant intracellular Ras-group-related LRR protein 4-like, with no coding region annotated. The record is from RefSeq and is a predicted model, not a curated record. NCBI's taxonomy places the organism in Eukaryota, Viridiplantae, Streptophyta, Magnoliopsida, Poales, Poaceae. The transcript is spliced from 5 exons.